Neofelis nebulosa (Clouded leopard) is the source of this 1295-nucleotide long non-coding RNA. RefSeq lists it as uncharacterized. The transcript is spliced from 4 exons. The record is from RefSeq and is a predicted model, not a curated record. Lineage: Eukaryota; Metazoa; Chordata; Mammalia; Carnivora; Felidae.
CCCCUGCAGGGCUCACAUGAGGACACGCCUCCUCCUCGCGCCUCCACGGAGCGCAGCCAAUCAGCGUUCCAGGGCUUCGCGGGUGGGACUGCCCCUUGCCCCUCGCACCUCCUCCCGCACGCGCCAGGACACGCCCAUUCCACGGGCCGACCUCCCCAAGCCCUCGCGCCUCGGCCGCGUGCAGCUAGCUGUCGCUGCUUCCUCCCCUGCGGACUUCGGAGGGUCCCCAGGACCGUUGUGUUGCCCUCUGACACUCUCUCGCUGUCCGGUUCCUACCCAGAGGUGUGGGGCGGGACCGAGAACCCGAGAGGCGAUGAGGGAGGCCCGGCGCGGCCUCUCGGAGGCAAAGCGCGGUCUGAGGGAAAUGCCUGUCAAGUCCUGUCGGACCCUCGCGGGACCGGUUCCCACCGCAGCCGGUGGGCAGGGCUUCUCCCCGCCCGGAACUCGUCCUCCGGUCCGCUGAAUGCAGACAGCAAGCCGGGCCGGUCCACCGCACGGGACUGCGGAGGAAGGAGAUUCCUUGGAAUGAAACCAAUGGGAGAUCAGGGUUUGGGAGAGUCUCAUCAGAGCAGAUGGGCCAGCAGCAGCCAGAAAGCUUGUUGCCUUUGGCUGAGAGCACCAUCCUGGAUCUGACGUCUUAUGGAAAAACUGAAGCCUAAGGAGAGGAAUGGACUUGCCAUGGACAUUUCAGGAGCCCAGAGGCAACUCGGGCCAAGGAGCCCCUACCUGGACACCUUUGUGCACCUUGCUGUCCCCAGCCCAGGGCCCUUGAGGAAUAGGUAAGUGGAAAGACCCAAGGGAGUCUGGAACUUUGUGAAGGGCCCUGAUGUCCCCCAAGUCACGAGAGACUUUUCUUUCUCCUGCUGUAGCCUCCCCAUGAGUAGCACAGGGUCAUCACGUCUUCCCUGGCCACAGUGCUAGGCUGUGAGGAUCAAAGGAGAAACUGUGCUAACAUCCUUGGGCAACUGUGAAGCUCUCUGCCUGAGGUAGGAGAUAAGUACCAUCAUCAUCAUCCCUAAUGGCUCCCAGAUCCAAGAGAUCCAGGCUGACCCCUCCAAGGCUUUAUCAAGCAAUGCUCAAACAGCCAAGUCUCGGUGGAACUAGGUCCUGCUCUGAAGAUCAUGGGUAUUGGUGAUACAGAUGGGGCAGGGCAGGUCCAGGAUCCAUUCUGAAUCUCCAGCAGCUCAAGAAUGGGCUGAAUCCCCACUUGCUCCAUCCCACCAACCUUCCCACCCAGGGGCCUCACCACACCCAUCUGCUCACUGGACCCUCACAACACCUUUGUGAGCUCAGAA